RNAcentral lists this ribosomal RNA (615 nucleotides) under uncultured Actinomycetes bacterium. RNAcentral's name for it is "bacterial SSU rRNA". It matches the Rfam family "Bacterial small subunit ribosomal RNA", at positions 252 to 866 of the family's 1533-position model. The record is from RNAcentral. Lineage: Bacteria; Bacillati; Actinomycetota; Actinomycetes.
GUGAGGUAAUGGCUUACCAAGGCGAUGACGGGUAGCCGGCCUGAGAGGGUGACCGGCCACACUGGGACUGAGACACGGCCCAGACUCCUACGGGAGGCAGCAGUGGGGAAUAUUGCACAAUGGGCGAAAGCCUGAUGCAGCGACGCCGCGUGAGGGAUGACGGCCUUCGGGUUGUAAACCUCUUUCAGUAGGGAACAAGGCUAAGCGUUGUUUGGUUGAGGGUACUUGCAGAAGAAGCGCCGGCUAACUACGUGCCAGCAGCCGCGGUAAUACGUAGGGCGCAAGCGUUAUCCGGAAUUAUUGGGCGUAAAGAGCUCGUAGGCGGUUUGUCGCGCCUGCCGUGAAAGUCCGGGGCUCAACUCCGGAUCUGCGGUGGGUACGGGCAGACUAGAGUGAUGUAGGGGAGACUGGAAUUCCUGGUGUAGCGGUGAAAUGCGCAGAUAUCAGGAGGAACACCGAUGGCGAAGGCAGGUCUCUGGGCAUUAACUGACGCUGAGGAGCGAAAGCAUGGGGAGCGAACAGGAUUAGAUACCCUGGUAGUCCAUGCCGUAAACGGUGGGCACUAGGUGUGGGUCUCAACCAACGAGAUCCGCGCCGUCGCUAACGCAUUAAGUA